This 717-nucleotide ribosomal RNA is filed under the name Argiope amoena. Its description in RNAcentral is "SSU rRNA". It matches the Rfam family "Eukaryotic small subunit ribosomal RNA", at positions 411 to 1131 of the family's 1831-position model. Lineage: Eukaryota; Metazoa; Arthropoda; Arachnida; Araneae; Araneidae. The record is from RNAcentral.
CACAUCCAAGGAAGGCAGCAGGCGCGCAAAUUACCCACUCCCAGCACGGGGAGGUAGUGACGAAAAAUAACAAUACGGGACUCUUUUGAGACCCCGUAAUUGGAAUGAGUACACUCUAAAUCCUUUAACGAGGAUCCAUUGGAGAGCAAGUCUGGUGCCAGCAGUCGCGGUAAUUCCAGCUCCAAUAGCGUAUAUUAAAGUUGUUGCGGUUAAAAAGCUCGUAGUUGGAUCUCAGCUCCGGCCGGACGGUCCGCCUACCGGUGGUCACUGUUCGCUGCCGAGCGUUCAGGGGGCUCUCGCCGAUGAUCUUCAUCGGUUGUCUGCGGGGACCCUCACGUUUACUUUGAAAAAAUUAGAGUGCUCAAAGCAGGCGCGACGCCUGAAUAAUUGUGCAUGGAAUAAUGGAAUAGGACCUCGGUUCUAUUUUGUUGGUUUUCGGAACACGAGGUAAUGAUUAAGAGGGACAGACGGGGGCAUUCGUAUUGCGACGCUAGAGGUGAAAUUCUUGGACCGUCGCAAGACGAACUACUGCGAAAGCAUUUGCCAAGAAUGUUUCCAUUAAUCAAGAACGAAAGUUAGAGGUUCGAAGGCGAUCAGAUACCGCCCUAGUUCUAACCAUAAACGAUGCCAGCCAGCGAUCCGGCUGUGUUCCUCAAAUGACACGCCGGGCAGCUUCCGGGAAACCAAAGCUUUUGGGUUCCGGGGGAAGUAUGGUAG